GUGACGGAGCGUGAAAAGAAGACAUAGCGAAAUCGUGGCCCAACGAACAGGAACUUGAUAUAAGGCCUAUGAGUGGAUAAGAUGCCUAAACACAUUGAAGUCCAAAAGAUGGUUAAACUCGGAUGGUAAAUCAAGUGGGUAAACGAGGAAAGAG
Molecule: non-coding RNA, 154 nt
Filed under: uncultured Traorella sp.
Lineage: Bacteria; Bacillati; Bacillota; Erysipelotrichia; Erysipelotrichales; Erysipelotrichaceae
Source: RNAcentral